RNAcentral lists this transfer RNA (77 nucleotides) under Iodobacter fluviatilis. Its description in RNAcentral is "tRNA-Pro(tgg)". It matches the Rfam family "tRNA". Rfam says of the family: Transfer RNA (tRNA) molecules are approximately 80 nucleotides in length. Their secondary structure includes four short double-helical elements and three loops (D, anti-codon, and T loops). RNAcentral also lists the same sequence under 11 other names. The record is from RNAcentral. Lineage: Bacteria; Pseudomonadati; Pseudomonadota; Betaproteobacteria; Neisseriales; Chitinibacteraceae.
CGGGGCGUAGCGCAGCCCGGUAGCGCAUCUGCUUUGGGAGCAGAGGGUCGUGAGUUCGAAUCCCACCGCCCCGACCA